Molecule: ribosomal RNA, 218 nt
Filed under: uncultured Enterococcaceae bacterium
Lineage: Bacteria; Bacillati; Bacillota; Bacilli; Lactobacillales; Enterococcaceae
Description: partial 16S ribosomal RNA
Rfam family: Bacterial small subunit ribosomal RNA
Source: RNAcentral
ACCCUACCCAUCAGAGGGGGAUAACACUUGGAAACAGGUGCUAAUACCGCAUAACAGUUUAUGCCGCAUGGCAUAAGAGUGAAAGGCGCUUUCGGGUGUCGCUGAUGGAUGGACCCGCGGUGCAUUAGCUAGUUUGUGAGGUAACGGCUCACCAAGGCCACGAUGCAUAGCCGACCUGAGAGGGUGAUCGGCCACACUGGGACUGAGACACGGCCCAG